GGGCCCAGUCGCGUCGGGCCUCCCUAGGGGGCUGCGAGUGUCAGUCGGCUCUCCGCACGUGUCCGCGGCCUCGCGGAGCAGCACUGCAAGCUAUUUGGCAUAUGAAGGUCUUGACCUGAGAAAACCAUCUUGGAUAACCACAGCAAGGAAAAGGAAAAAUGCAACACCUAGGAGAUUUCAGUAAACAGUAGAAUCAUGCCAACCUAAUCUGUGUUAAAAUGCUUGGAAUGUGGGAGCCGCUGAUGAUGCCUGUUGUCUGUGUGUCUGACUGAAUCCUUUCUUUUCUCAGAGCAGCAAAGCAAAGCCUGGGAACCAGGCCAAAUGCCUGCCACUUACCUUAAAUUGAUCAGCCACUUUGAGAUUAAAACCCCUGAAAGCUGCCACACCGUGAAAACAAGGCCUCCUUCACAUUAAAGGCAAAUUGCGACUUUG
This 432-nucleotide non-coding RNA is filed under the name Pongo abelii (Sumatran orangutan). Lineage: Eukaryota; Metazoa; Chordata; Mammalia; Primates; Hominidae. The record is from RNAcentral.